AUUGAACGCUGGCGGCGUGCUUAACACAUGCAAGUCGUGCGGUAACAGGCGUAGCAAUACGUGCUGACGAGCGGCGAACGGGUGCGUAAUACAUGGGAAUCUGCCCUUUAGUGGGGAAUAACCCGGCGAAAGCCGGGCUAAUGCCGCAUAAGAUCUUCGGAUGAAAGCGGGGGAUCGUAAGACCUCGCGCUGAUGGAUGAGCCCAUGUCGGAUUAGCAGUUGGUGAGGUAACGGCUCACCAAGGCGACGAUCCGUAGCUGGUCUGAGAGGACGGCCAGCCACACUGGGACUGAGACACGGCCCAGACUCCUACGGGAGGCAGCAGUGGGGAAUAUUGGACAAUGGGGAAACCCUGAUCCAGCGACGCCGCGUGUGUGAAGAAGGCCUGCGGGUUGUAAAGC
RNAcentral lists this ribosomal RNA (401 nucleotides) under uncultured bacterium. RNAcentral describes it as "bacterial SSU rRNA". It matches the Rfam family "Bacterial small subunit ribosomal RNA", at positions 30 to 431 of the family's 1533-position model. The record is from RNAcentral.